Long non-coding RNA from Haliotis rufescens (red abalone), 150 nucleotides. RefSeq lists it as uncharacterized. The transcript has 3 exons. NCBI's taxonomy places the organism in Eukaryota, Metazoa, Mollusca, Gastropoda, Lepetellida, Haliotidae. The record is from RefSeq and is a predicted model, not a curated record.
AGGUAGACGACAGCGACAACCACGACCACAAAGCUCAGUUUCUGCUGAGGACACGCUGCAAGUUAGGGCUGCAUAUAAUUACCGAAUCAGCCGCGAUGACAUCGUGGAAAGAUCAGGAAAAGACGACUUGGAGCUGAAAGGCAUUCAAUG